Molecule: unclassified non-coding RNA, 148 nt
Organism: Macaca mulatta (Rhesus monkey)
Lineage: Eukaryota; Metazoa; Chordata; Mammalia; Primates; Cercopithecidae
Rfam family: Metazoan signal recognition particle RNA
About the family: The signal recognition particle (SRP) is a universally conserved ribonucleoprotein. It is involved in the co-translational targeting of proteins to membranes.
Source: Ensembl
GCUGGGCGUGGUGGCGUGUGCCUGUAGUCCCAACUACUUGGGAGGCUGAGGUAGGAGAAUUGCUUGAACCUGGGAGGUGGAGGCUGCAGUGAGCCAAGAUCAUGACACUGCACUCCAGCCUAGGUGACAGAGCGAGACUCUGUCUCCA